AUUGAACGCUGGCGGCAGGCCUAACACAUGCAAGUCGAACGGUAGCACAGAGAGCUUGCUCUCGGGUGACGAGUGGCGGACGGGUGAGUAACGUCUGGGAAACUGCCCGAUGGAGGGGGAUAACUACUGGAAACGGUAGCUAAUACCGCAUAACGUCGCAAGACCAAAGUGGGGGACCUUCGGGCCUCACACCAUCGGAUGUGCCCAGAUGGGAUUAGCUAGUAGGUGGGGUAAUGGCUCACCUAGGCGACGAUCCCUAGCUGGUCUGAGAGGAUGACCAGCCACACUGGAACUGAGACACGGUCCAGACUCCUACGGGAGGCAGCAGUGGGGAAUAUUGCACAAUGGGCGCAAGCCUGAUGCAGCCAUGCCACGUGUAUGAAGAAGGCCUUCGGGUUGUAAAGUACUAUCAGCGGGGAGGAAGGCGGUGAAGUUAAUAGCUUAACCGAUUGACGUUACCCGCAGAAGAAGCACCGGCUAACUCCGUGCCAGCCGCCGCAGUAA
RNAcentral lists this ribosomal RNA (504 nucleotides) under uncultured bacterium. Its description in RNAcentral is "partial 16S ribosomal RNA". It matches the Rfam family "Bacterial small subunit ribosomal RNA", at positions 30 to 523 of the family's 1533-position model. The record is from RNAcentral.